RNAcentral lists this ribosomal RNA (253 nucleotides) under uncultured bacterium. RNAcentral's name for it is "partial 16S ribosomal RNA". It matches the Rfam family "Bacterial small subunit ribosomal RNA", at positions 524 to 776 of the family's 1533-position model. The record is from RNAcentral.
UACGAAGGGUGCAAGCGUUACUCGGAAUUACUGGGCGUAAAGCGUGCGUAGGCGGUUUGUUAAGUCCGUUGUGAAAGCCCUGGGCUCAACCUGGGAAUUGCAGUGGAUACUGGCGAGCUAGAGUGCGGUAGAGGAUGGUGGAAUUCCCGGUGUAGCGGUGAAAUGCGUAGAGAUCGGGAGGAACACCCGUGGCGAAGGCGGCCAUCUGGACUAGCACUGACGCUGAGGCACGAAAGCGUGGGGAGCAAACAGG